Molecule: non-coding RNA, 195 nt
Filed under: Loigolactobacillus backii
Lineage: Bacteria; Bacillati; Bacillota; Bacilli; Lactobacillales; Lactobacillaceae
Description: Lactobacillus backii T-box sequence
Rfam family: T-box leader
About the family: Uncharged tRNA acts as the effector for transcription antitermination of genes in the T-box leader family. T-boxes are found upstream of many aminoacyl-tRNA synthetase genes and some amino acid biosynthetic genes usually in Gram-positive bacteria.
Source: RNAcentral
AUAUCUGCAAUGAGGCAUCUAGUAGGUCAAAGAAUUGUUCAGAAAGCUAGCGGUUAAUGUGAGCUAGUCAAUACUUUGGGUGAAUCCAGUGCUGAGCUUGGUGGCGAAAAGUCACCACGGUGAGCCGUUAAACUCAAUUAAGUGAAUGAUUUUUAAUCAUUAAAAUGGGUGGUACCGCGUGUAAACGUCCCGUAA